AUUUAAAACACAGCUAGAUAAGUGCAAUAAACAAGAUCACGUCCCCUGUGGAUUCACUGGGAGCCUUCGGCGGGCCAGGCAGACAGAUUCAACCAUCUGCUCAAUGAUUGUGGGAGCAAGUCAUCAGAGGAACGAAUUACAAAAAGAAGUAACUUCCAUGGAAAUUUCCAACGAAUCCAUAAAGAGAUUGUCCAGAGGAAAGGGCUUGGAAAACAGACCAAUCAUGGAUUUACAGGGGAUUUGGAAAGUCAAACACAAGAACCUAUGCUUUACCUUUUGGUUUAAAAAUAAUACUAUCCUUAACCUUUGUAGCACCAGUGUUAUUUCAAGCAACUCUGGUUUAUAGAAACUAUCCUGUGGGAAAUGAUUUAUA
This is a non-coding RNA of Podarcis muralis (Common wall lizard), 373 nucleotides long. NCBI's taxonomy places the organism in Eukaryota, Metazoa, Chordata, Lepidosauria, Squamata, Lacertidae. The record is from RefSeq and is a predicted model, not a curated record.